RNAcentral lists this long non-coding RNA (596 nucleotides) under Homo sapiens (human). Its description in RNAcentral is "HSALNT0043426". Lineage: Eukaryota; Metazoa; Chordata; Mammalia; Primates; Hominidae. The record is from RNAcentral.
UGUCUGCAGAAAUCUAAAAGCCACCCAGGCCACCAACUUAAUUAUAUCCAGGAUGCGCACCAGAGGUGAAAAGCCUCCUAGAACUGUUUUUCAAUCAUCAUCUCUCCAACUGAGCUGGACUAGUGACACUAAAACCAGCAAUUAAAAGCCUCAAUUCAAAUGCAUCCUGUUAAAGAGCCAUGGGUGAUUAGAUCAUAAAUCUGCAUGACCUUGAAGAUGAUGAAGGAAAUAAUUUUCUUUACUGGGUCUUUAAUGGUGAAAUAAACAGGAAAGAAGAAAAGGCAAGAAAUAAAUUUUACUGUGCUAUGCUUGGGAAAACCAUGUUUUCCAAUUUAUUCUUCACACAACAAAACCUAUUUGAUCUGAGAUACAGCCUAAUCCAAGCAUGAUGACUUUCCAUUAAUCUGUGAUGGGGUUUUAUUUCUUUAUUAUGAGCUAAAUGUGUAAACGCAUAAGAAUUAGCAAAGCCAUUUUGGCACGAUUUAAUUCUCAGGGCUCCCUCUGCUGGUAGUGAAAGAUGACAAAUUUACAGAGAGCUUAAGAAUGAGGGCAAUACAAUUAUUACCACAAUUUUGCCAUUUAUAUUAGAUCUAAAU